AUUAGGUUGGUGCAAAAGUAAUCACAGUUUUUGCCAUUGAAAAUAAUGGCAAAGCCGUGGUUACUUUUGCACCAGCCUAAUA
Molecule: microRNA precursor, 82 nt
Filed under: Aotus nancymaae (Ma's night monkey)
Lineage: Eukaryota; Metazoa; Chordata; Mammalia; Primates; Aotidae
Description: miRNA (ENSANAG00000012507.1)
Source: RNAcentral